RNAcentral lists this long non-coding RNA (1388 nucleotides) under Homo sapiens (human). RNAcentral's name for it is "long intergenic non-protein coding RNA 635". The record is from RNAcentral. Lineage: Eukaryota; Metazoa; Chordata; Mammalia; Primates; Hominidae.
AUAGCAACAGCAGCGUAGCUGAACAUCUUACGGAUGGCCCAGGGCUCCAAAGGCUCGUUUCCUAAGUGAGAGAGAGCCUGGCUGAAGCUGUAUUACCAUUCAUUCUCCAGCCUCCGAAGUCUCAAAGCAUCACUUCCACCAUACUCUAACUGUCAAGACAAACACAAAGGCCCAGAGAAGGGGUCUCACUAUGUUGUCUGGAGUGCUGUGGUGGAGUGGAGUGGCUAUUCACAGAGCCUGUUCUGCUGGGACACAGAAUCACUUGCUCCAUCUCAUACAUUGAUGAUGAUUAAUUUGUAUGUGUACCUUCCAAAAAAGAUGGUUGUGUUUGAAUGGAGGCCUUCUGGACAGGAAAAUAUGGAGAGUGCGUGCUUUGGAUUCAAGACUGGGAAUGAGGGGACCAGAAACCUAUUCUGUGGCUGUUUCUUGUUAGGACUUUCCUAAGCCUCUGGAAAAGUGCAAAGUACAAUUAACAUUUGAGUCUGUCUGAGUCAUGAAGAAAUGGAGAUUACUGAAAAUAAUUCAUUUUGGUAUCUUCUUACAUCCUGAGAGACUAAUCUUUCCAAGUUCAUCUGAGGCUCCUCUUCUCCAUGACAACCUCAUCCAGGGAUUUCUUCCUGUCCUGGUGUUUUAUGACAUCAUCCUCAUCUCGCUUGUAAGGAUAAUAGCCUUCCUCCAAACCUCACACACUUUUGGAGGAGAUCACUUUUUUUAAAGUGCAUGGAAAUGUUUUGAAACAGUGAAAUCUAUAAUGAUAGGUUUCAUAAUUCUAACAUCCACACCAUAUGAAUCACAUCCUUCCUGAGAUAAUGAGCACACAAUUGCCUGGAUACCUGAAGGAAUGGAGACAGCGGCAGAAAACACUGCAGAGAGGUGGAAACAUCCGUUAAUAUUUUAAAAUCCCAUUACUGCUACCAACAAUAAUAAUGGAUGCAUAGAAAUAGAUCUGGAUUAGCUGAGCUUGAAACAGUCCAUCUCACACACACACAAAAGAAUUUCAGAUACAGUGAACCCACAUGUUGAAGCUUUCUAGUAUAAUAAAAAUUUCAACUGUUCUGUUGAAUCAUCUGCCUGAUUGGAGGCUACAGAAAAGAUGUCAUCUUAGGAGUGCUUGCUCUGAGUGAGGCUCAUCUUCAAAUCUGAAUGACCACAAGGAGAUUUGAUUAUACAUGUGAACACCUCAGAAGGCACAGCCCACCCAGAAGGCAGACAGGAGGAGACAGACACUAGAGCUCACCGGCUCGCCCUCUCACUCCUACUCAUCUGAGAAGGCAGCCAGCUAACCCUUCAGCCAGGAAGAGGGUCCUCAUCAGAACCUGGCCGUGGUGGCAUCCAGAUCUUGAACCUCCGGACUCCAGACUGUGAGAAAAUAAGUGUGUUGUUUAAAC